UUCUUGAAAAAUAUAGUGCAACUAUGAAAACUUUGCAGCUAUUUAAGUAUUUAUUUGUAUAUUUACUGCUACACUAUAAGAUGUCUUAAUCGUCUAGUUGGUCAUCUAGAUUGUGUUGUUGAAGUACAAAAAAAAUUAUCCGCCUUUUUACAAUUCAAUAACCUUUUAGGUUGAGUCAGUCGGUGCAUGCAAGCUCAAUAUUGUGUAGAAGAAGAAAUGAAGUAGAGACCAUAGAAAAAGGUUAAUGCAUAUAUGGGAGACAUCAAUACAUAACAAUACAUUUUUUCUCUCACCAUCAGACUAACUGACAAAGUGAUAAUAAAUAACACAUGCAACUUAAAGAAGAUGCAGAUACUACCAAAUUAAAAAUUUUGGAUAAACAUUGGCUUCCAGGAAAGAAAAGGGGAAAAACUCUAUAUUAACCCAUAACUAGGUGAGUGCACGUGCGGCACACACUAAAAGUAAACAAGAAUUUUAUAUUCAUAAAACAUAGAUACAUGCACCAUGGACAUAUUCAAUAACAAAAAACAUACCCAUAUAAAAAUAGAAAAUAUACGGAAUUUAACAUUACUCGUAUACAAUGCUAAGUGUUGGACCCCAAUCACCUAGUUGGAUACCAGCAAGCUGCAAAAUUUGUGUCAUUCGUAGUGGUACUGCAGUGAGUUUUAUUCGUUAGGAAAGAACAACCAAAUCAGAGAAAAAAACUUAUUCGCAUGUUCUUGUCAAGAAUGCUAAUGCUAGGGUUUCUAUCAUGUUUGAGAUUAAUUGGAACAUGUGAUAUUGUUAUGUCAAUAAAUAAUCAAUCAGGUGACAAUAGAAGGAAAAUUCAGAAGACAGUACCCAAACCUUUAAUUGCAGGUGGAGAUGGAGCACAAAAUAAUCUCUUUUGAUCAAUCACAAGUAUUAGCAAUGAUAGAGGAGGGGAUCGGCUUACACCCAAACCUCAGCACAGAAGCCUUUCCACCCGUGCCCAUGUUGUGCAAAUCAUAUUUGCAUCCUGUGAAGUUGUAGGCAGGUAUGCCUCAAUGUGCAGGGCCUGGCUGGCGAUGGCGCCAACCAGGGAGUGGAGGCGAGGCCACUACCCGGUGACGAGUGGCGGUCAGGGAGCGGGGACCAGGAACGAUGAAUGUGACCGCGGCCCAGCGAGAC
Molecule: long non-coding RNA, 1149 nt
Filed under: Setaria viridis
Lineage: Eukaryota; Viridiplantae; Streptophyta; Magnoliopsida; Poales; Poaceae
Description: long non-coding RNA (SVIR_LNC010887)
Source: RNAcentral